RNAcentral lists this long non-coding RNA (229 nucleotides) under Solanum tuberosum (potato). RNAcentral describes it as "long non-coding RNA (STUB_LNC001549)". Lineage: Eukaryota; Viridiplantae; Streptophyta; Magnoliopsida; Solanales; Solanaceae. The record is from RNAcentral.
UGAACCAAAACUCUUAACCUGACUUGAAAUCUAACCCUAACUCAAGAUUCGAGCCUUGAGACUUAGGAUCUAAGAUGCAACCCUUGGCCUCGACCCCGUACCUAGGACACGAGAAUCAAAACUCGAUCCUGACACAAGCCGCGAGACCCUUCGACACUAACUCAAGAUUCAACUAGGAACUCGAGCACUUACCCCCGAGAACGAUUCGAUAUCUAACUCUGACCUUAAC